UAGGGAAUCUUCCGCAAUGGACGAAAGUCUGACGGAGCAACGCCGCGUGAGUGAAGAAGGCUUUCGGUUCGUAAAACUCUGUUGUUAGGGAAGAAAAAAUGUAUAGUAACUAUAUACAAAAGAGACGGUACCUAACCAGAAAGCCACGGCUAACUACGUGCCAGCAGCCGCGGUAAUACGUAGGUGGCAAGCGUUGUCCGGAAUUAUUGUGCGUAAAGCGCGCGCAGGUGGUUUAGAAAGUCUGAUGUGAAAGCCCACGGCUCAACCGUGGAGGGUCAUUGGAAACUAAUAAACUUGAGUGCAGGGGAGAAAAGUGGAAUUCCUAGUGUAGCGGUGAAAUGCGUAGAGAUUAGGAGGAAAACCGAUGGCGAAAGCGGCUUUUUGGCCAGCAACUGACACUGAGGCGCGAAAGCGUGGGAAGCAAACAGG
This 429-nucleotide ribosomal RNA is filed under the name Verrucomicrobiota bacterium. Its description in RNAcentral is "Verrucomicrobia bacterium partial 16S ribosomal RNA". It matches the Rfam family "Bacterial small subunit ribosomal RNA", at positions 355 to 776 of the family's 1533-position model. The record is from RNAcentral. Lineage: Bacteria; Pseudomonadati; Verrucomicrobiota.